Molecule: ribosomal RNA, 492 nt
Filed under: uncultured bacterium
Lineage: Bacteria
Description: partial 16S ribosomal RNA
Rfam family: Bacterial small subunit ribosomal RNA
Source: RNAcentral
AGUGAACGCUGGCGGUAGGCCUAACACAUGCAAGUCGAACGGCAGCACAGUAAGAGCUUGCUCUUACGGGUGGCGAGUGGCGGACGGGUGAGGAAUACAUCGGAAUCUACUUUUUCGUGGGGGAUAACGUAGGGAAACUUACGCUAAUACCGCAUCCGACCUACGGGUGAAAGCAGGGGAUCUUCGGACCUUGCGCGAUUGAAUGAGCCGAUGUCGGAUUAGCUAGUUGGCGGGGUAAAGGCCCACCAAGGCGCCGAUCCGUAGCUGGUCAGAGAGGAUGGUCGGCCACACGGGAACUGAGACACGGUCCAUACGACUACGGGAGGCAGCAGUGGGGAAUAUUGGACAAUGGUCGCAAGCCUGAUCCAGCCAUACCGCGUGUGUUAAGAAGGCCUUCGGGUUGUAAAGCCCUUUUGUUGGGAAAGAAAAGCAGCAGGUUAAUACCCCGCUGUUCUGACGGUACCCAAAGAAUAAGCACCGGCUAACUUCGUG